UACAGAGGUCUCAAGCGUUGUUCGGAUUCAUUGGGCGUAAAGGGUGCGUAGGCGGCGGGGUAAGUCGGAUGUGAAAUCCUGGGGCUCAACCUCAGAACUGCAUUCGAUACUGCUCUGCUUGAGUACUGGAGAGGAGACUGGAAUUUACGGUGUAGCAGUGAAAUGCGUAGAUAUCGUAAGGAAGACCAGUGGCGAAGGCGAGUCUCUGGACAGUUACUGACGCUGAGGCACGAAGGCCAGGGGAGCAAACGGG
Molecule: ribosomal RNA, 253 nt
Filed under: uncultured bacterium
Lineage: Bacteria
Description: partial 16S ribosomal RNA
Rfam family: Bacterial small subunit ribosomal RNA
Source: RNAcentral